UACGUAGGGGGCAAGCGUUAUCCGGAUUUACUGGGUGUAAAGGGAGCGUAGACGGUGAUGUAAGUCAGAUGUGAAAGCCCAGGGCUCAACCCUGGGACUGCAUUUGAAACUAUGUUACUAGAGUGCAGGAGAGGUAAGUGGAAUUCCUAGUGUAGCGGUGAAAUGCGUAGAUAUUAGGAGGAACAUCAGUGGCGAAGGCGGCUUACUGGACUGUAACUGACGUUGAGGCUCGAAAGCGUGGGGAGCAAACAGG
This 253-nucleotide ribosomal RNA is filed under the name uncultured bacterium. RNAcentral describes it as "partial 16S ribosomal RNA". It matches the Rfam family "Bacterial small subunit ribosomal RNA", at positions 524 to 776 of the family's 1533-position model. The record is from RNAcentral.